GAUGAACGCUGGCGGCGUGCCUAAUACAUGCAAGUCGAGCGAACAGACGAGGAGCUUGCUCCUUCGACGUUAGCGGCGGACGGGUGAGUAACACGUAGGUAACCUACCUAUAAGACUGGGAUAACUUCGGGAAACCGGAGCUAAUACCGGAUAAUAUUUCGAACCGCAUGGUUCGAUAGUGAAAGAUGGCUUUGCUAUCACUUAUAGAUGGACCUGCGCCGUAUUAGCUAGUUGGUAAGGUAACGGCUUACCAAGGCAACGAUACGUAGCCGACCUGGGAGGGUGAUCGGCCACACUGGAACUGAGACACGGUCCAGACUCCUACGGGAGGCAGCAGUAGGGAAUCUUCCGCAAUGGGCGAAAGCCUGACGGAGCAACGCCGCGUGAGUGAUGAAGGUCUUCGGAUCGUAAAACUCUGUUAUUAGGGAAGAACAAACGUGUAAGUAACUGUGCACGUCUUGACGGUACCUAAUCAGAAAGCCACGGCUAACUACGUG
This 497-nucleotide ribosomal RNA is filed under the name uncultured bacterium. RNAcentral's name for it is "partial 16S ribosomal RNA". It matches the Rfam family "Bacterial small subunit ribosomal RNA", at positions 28 to 507 of the family's 1533-position model. The record is from RNAcentral.